AGCUAUUACCUAAUAAAGUAAAAAGUUAGAAAGGAAUACACCAGAACAGUGAAAGGAAAAAAUCAGAAGCAUGGUUAAAUUCAUGUAAGCUUACUAUUCAAAUAUUGUGGAAGUGCUUGUAGUAACCCAGCUUUAUAUGAUCACAAAAUAGGUAUCUGGAAAUGAGAGCCACAGUGAGCUGACUUCCUUUAUAGAAAAGAAAAAAAAGAAAGAGGAACUUUUGGGUUAUGGUUCAUUUAGCUUGGUUUAGAUAUCUACUUUAGAAUAAGAAGAAUUGUGCCCUUGACUCCAGUAAGUAUAUUGACCACAUCUUUAUGGAUGGUAUAGGUAGACAGAUUAGGAUCUCAAACAUAGAUUUAGAUCUCAAAAUCCACAGAGUGAAAUUUAUAUUCUCAUUUGUAACUUGAAGGCAAGAAGAAAAAAAGGAAAUAGUAAAAUAUAUUUCCAUCGGACAUAUCUUAUUAAAAGUAUUUCUCCAAAAAAGAGAAUUACAUUCUCUUUAUAUAGACAUAUUUAUAUAUAUGUGUGUGUAUGUAUAUGUAUAUCCAAUAAUAGGCAUUCAAAAAUUUGCAACAAGAAAUUUAAAGUUGUGUGUCUUUCCUUGUUAAUUUUCCAAUUAUAUGAUCUGAUGAGAACUGCGAUAACGUGAUGAGUCAGAAGCAGCAGAGAGCUGGCUAAUGAAGACACUGAAUGCAUCUUCAAACUUACUGAUCUUUUCUUCAGUGGAAGUGAGUUGAAGUGUAAUGUCAGGAUAGAGGCAUGGGGAAGAAGAAUCAGUUAAGGAUAAGAGAAUGAAGACAUAUGUCUCUAACUGAGAAACCUCAUGUUGAAGAGCUCACAUCAAGGGGAGACAAGUUAUUCCCUUGCUGCACUGUUGGGUCCCUCCCAUGGAAGACGGGUCUCCAUUAACUUCUCCAGCAUGGAUCCAUCUCAAGAGCUACAGCUCUCCACGAACUGCUGCAGUGUGGAUCACUCUUCCAUAGGGUGCAGUCUUUCAAGGACAGGCUGUUCCAUUAGGGGAGCAGACGCCCUCUCUCCCGUGGGCUCACAACCUCCUCCAGGCAUCCAGUCACUCCAUCGUCAGCUCCUGCUCCAUGGGCUGGGGGUGAAUCUCUGCAUCCCCACGGACCUCCUCCGCCUACAGGGGCACAGCUGCUUCACCAUGGGCUGCACCAGGAGCUGCAGAGGGAUCUCAGCUCCAGGGACUGGGGCACUUCCUUUCCCCCUUUUCCCCCUGACCUUUGUGCCUGCAUGGUUGUUAGAUUCCCAUGUUCUUGCUCUGCUCUUCUCUAGUCACAAUUACAGCUGCACAAACACUUUUUGUUUAGAUUUCUUCUAAAAUGUGUUAUCACAGAGGCAUUGCCACCAUGUCUAAUUGACAUUUCUGCCUAUGGAACCACCAGGGAUUGGCUGUGCUGGACACUGAGGAAGCUUCUAGUAACUUCUCAUGGGAGCCAUCCCUGUAACUGCCCCGUUACCAAAAACCAAAGCCACGCAAACCCAAUACAUCAGGAUAUAAAGUCACUUUAAUAAAUGACAUAUGUUUUGGAACUUGGGUAGUAAUGUCACCUUUAAUGAAAUACAAAUGCUACUGAAAACACAUACUGUAAUCAUAGAAUCAUUUUCUUACUGUUUGGUCUGACUCAAGUGAAGCAUCAAAGUCAAGACAAUUUGACAGUAACCAGAUACCAGUUUAUAGCCACCAUUCAUGAAUUGAUUGACUUGGAAUUUCUAGGUGAAGGAUUCUGUGUCCAGGUUUCAUUUAUGAUUAUCUUGAUGGUUGGAUAAAAAUGUGGUGUUAAUCUCUCUGGAAUUUAUUCACUUCCAUAUUUAGAUAAAUGUUCAUAUACUAGAUCUUUGGAACGAAUGAGAUUGCCCUGUAAACUGAAAAUUUAUACUUCUGUCUAGCAAUCACAAAUGAUAAUAUUACAAGGAAAAAAUCAAAAAGAUGUUAAAAAUCUUCUCUUCAAUACAGUUCCUCUAAACACUCAAGGGAAAGAUUAUUAUUUUAAUUUUCUGGGAAUAGAGUAUAAUCUAGAAAGCAAUUUUUAGUAAGUCUCUUGGCUCACAUUAGAUGUAGAACAAAUGUUAUUUUAAACAUAAUCUGCAACACUUAAUUGCAAGUCCCUGUUCUGCCAGAUAUUUAACCUUUUUUACAUUUAUUAACAUUGUUCCUGAGAGGUCUCUACAACCUGCAAUCUCUUCAUUAUUCCAUUAUCUAAAAGGAAAUCAGUAACACAAGUUUUGAUUAUUUUCUUUUAAAUAUUAUGAAAUAUUUUACAAGAAUAUAGGGAAGCAAAUGGGGAAUAUUACCUAACAAUUCUGAUACAUUUUGAAAAAGGAUGUGUUAAAGAAAAUGAGCUUGUAAAGAAUUCUGUUUUGAUGGGAUGUCAUAAUAACAUUUCUUAAAUGGUUCUCUUUCUUUUUCUCUCUCUCUUGUUCAGUUGUACUUAUUUUUAAUUAAUUAGAGGGGAGAAAAUUCUACCAGAGCUUUAAUAUUAAAAUUAAGUAUUUAUAAUCUGGUAAUGUCCUCAGGCAGAUCCAUCUGUAGGUCCUAUUACCUGGUAUUUAAAUAAUACCUGAAAAAUAUGGAUGCAGGAUUUAAUUUAUACAUAUCAAAAAACAUUCAUUGAGCUAAAAAGGAUACUAAUAAAUCUCAUCUUUCUGAGUGUGGGACCAAAGAUUGUCUUAUUGAUUUCUACUUAACAGAAUCAAUCAUACUUUCAAGAGAUUCCCCAACAUUCCUUUUGGAUGCAUAGAUAAAUUCAGGAAUCCUGACUGUGUAAUUAAACUGUGUAUAUCAAUACCUUUUCUUUAAAGUGUUGAUACUAAAAAUACUGAAAGGACUCUGGACUGCUGACAUUACAUUUUUUUUGAAGGAUAUACUACAAUACAAUGACUUCUGUGGAACGGAAGCUCAGAUCAAGUUGGUCAGAUCAAAUAAAAAUGAAAAGAGUAUUAGAAGUCCUCACUGCUCACUGUUUCAUCUCAGAGGUAGGUCUUUUCUUUCACCUCACUCUUGCUCUGAAUACAGCAAUGUUGAGUGUCUUGCUGAGUAAUGAAUAAUUCCAAGCAGUGCACUGGAGACCUCUGGAAACUGCCUGUGUAUUGGCUCUUUCUCUUUAUAGUGUCUCUGCUUCCCUUCUUGGUGUGGAGACUUCUGAGUCCUCCCAUUCUGCUUCCUUCCCUCAGGAGAGGGCUGCUGCUCCAAAAAACUGUGUAUUGAUCCAAUAUAUGACAGCCAGCAGUUAGCAAGUGCAUGACCCCACUCCCUCUGGCUGAGUUGCACCUUCCAGCAAAACACAGUUAUGGCACAAGAGAAAACACAGCAAAAAAAAGAUAUGUUAUUUUUCAUUCUUAAUGUGAGAUAAUUUGUGUGUAUAUCAACAUUUUUCAGUGCAUGCAUUAAAUUUGUCACCAAUGGAAAUUUUCUCUGUCUCCUGACAAGACCAUCUCUCUCCUCAAACCUCAAAUUGAGAAGCACAAACAGUGUUUUAAAAGAACUGAUCACUGUGCUUGCAUUGGAGGUAUUCUUAAUGUAACAUAAAAUCUGAUCAUAAUAAUAGGAUAUGAACUUAGAAUAGAUUAUUAUUUUAAAAUUGUAACUUGGAAAAAAAAUUCUUGAACUUCACUUUUCAAAAGCCCCAGCUUUUUAAAAUAUAAAGUCAUUUGUGUUUCCUCGAGGAAAUGACA
Melospiza georgiana is the source of this 3693-nucleotide long non-coding RNA. RefSeq lists it as uncharacterized. The record is from RefSeq and is a predicted model, not a curated record. The transcript has 3 exons. Lineage: Eukaryota; Metazoa; Chordata; Aves; Passeriformes; Passerellidae.